RNAcentral lists this non-coding RNA (25 nucleotides) under Rattus norvegicus (Norway rat). The record is from RNAcentral. Lineage: Eukaryota; Metazoa; Chordata; Mammalia; Rodentia; Muridae.
UGUAUAUUGAGAUGUUCUGGAACCU